Molecule: unclassified non-coding RNA, 253 nt
Filed under: uncultured Acidobacteriota bacterium
Lineage: Bacteria; Pseudomonadati; Acidobacteriota
Description: uncultured Acidobacteria bacterium contains 16S-23S intergenic spacer region
Rfam family: Bacterial small subunit ribosomal RNA
Source: RNAcentral
UACGGGGGGGGCGAGCGUUAUUCGGAAUUAUUGGGCGUAAAGGGCGUGUAGGCGGCUUCGUGUGUCUCCUGUGAAAGCCCUCGGCUCAACCGAGGAACUGCAGGAGAAACUACGGAGCUCGAGUCCGGGAGAGGAGAGCGGAAUUCCCAGUGUAGCGGUGAAAUGCGUAGAUAUUGGGAGGAACACCAGUGGCGAAGGCGGCUCUCUGGACCGGUACUGACGCUGAGACGCGAAAGCGUGGGGAGCGAACAGG